GGCUGUGUGGGGGAUGACUCACGGGCACUUCAACAUCAGACCCGUCAGCUGCAAACAUGUUGCUCAGGUGGUUGGUGACCCUUUCCCUUCUUCUACCUGUCGUCUCAGCCGAGUAUUAUUGCAAGUAUGUAUCUAGCAGUGGCUAUUCAACAUACAGAUCGUGUCCCAAUGGCUGUUGCACCAAGACCUGCUGCAAGACAAGUUCUGUCGGUUUUGGUGUCUACAUUGGUGGGUCUGCCGGUGGAGUGUCAUUCAUCAUCUUUUGUUGCUGCAUUUACUACUUUUGCUGCCGGUCCAAUAAUACCCGGGUGGUGCCAAUAAUUAUCUAAGUAUUUGGAGGAUACCUGCCGGGCGCACAUGCGAUAACGGUGAUGUCUUCACAACCAAUCAAAAUUCAAACAUGGCCAAUCCCUAUAAUCUUGAAACCAUGUUUCUAGUUCCCCGUUGACCUAUACCUGCUCUCUGUUUCUCGUUGUUUAUUGCCAACAAAGAUUUGAUCGCGGUGUAUGCAGAAAAAGAUUUUGCGCAUGCCAAAGGCAGGGCAAGGACCUGUGUUGUGAGCAGAUCUCAGCAUUACGACUCUCGUAGCCCAUAUAUUCUAACCCUGGGCUACAAAUGCUACAUGGAAACAGCCCCUUUAUAUCUCACCGAACUGCCUAAAUACAAGCCUUCCAGAUAUCCCCGUUCACC
Haliotis rufescens (red abalone) is the source of this 690-nucleotide long non-coding RNA. RefSeq lists it as uncharacterized. The transcript has 4 exons. Lineage: Eukaryota; Metazoa; Mollusca; Gastropoda; Lepetellida; Haliotidae. The record is from RefSeq and is a predicted model, not a curated record.